UGGGGAAUAUUGCGCAAUGGGGGAAACCCUGACGCAGCAACGCCGCGUGAAUGAUGAAGGCCUUCGGGUUGUAAAGUUCUGUCUUCUGGGACGAUAAUGACGGUACCAGAGGAGGAAGCCACGGCUAACUACGUGCCAGCAGCCGCGGUAAUACGUAGGUGGCAAGCGUUGUCCGGAUUUACUGGGCGUAAAGGAUGCGUAGGCGGACAUUUAAGUCAGAUGUGAAAUACCCGAGCUUAACUUGGGUGCUGCAUUUGAAACUGGGUGUCUAGAGUGCAGGAGAGGUAAGUGGAAUUCCUAGUGUAGCGGUGAAAUGCGUAGAUAUUAGGAGGAACACCGGUGGCGAAGGCGGCUUGCUGGACAAAUACUGACGCUGAGGUGCGAAAGCGUGGGGAGCAAACAGG
Molecule: ribosomal RNA, 404 nt
Filed under: uncultured prokaryote
Also listed under: 1 other name
Description: bacterial SSU rRNA
Rfam family: Bacterial small subunit ribosomal RNA
Source: RNAcentral